AGAACCCACAACCAUUGCUUUCCAAUAUUAAAUGGCUUGAAUAUUGUUUUUUGUGGUUAAAAUAUGUUAGAAUACAAUAAGUUUGAUUGAUUACAAGUGCUAGAGCAUCAUGAAGAGUGUUUAGAAGUUUGGAGAAAGACUUGUUGAAAUUUGGUCCCAAAUGGGCUAAGAACUAGGAAACAUUGCGUUGAACCACUAAAUGGCUUGUGUAGUGUUCUUUGGGGUUAGAAUAGGUUAGAGUACAUUAAAUUUGAUUGAUUACAAGUUCUAGAGAUGCAUGAAGAGUGUUUAGAAGAGUGUAGAAAGACUUGCUGAAAUUUGGGCCGAAAUGAGCUAAGAACCCACAACCAUUGCUUUCAAGCAUUUAAUG
Molecule: long non-coding RNA, 370 nt
Filed under: Capsella rubella
Lineage: Eukaryota; Viridiplantae; Streptophyta; Magnoliopsida; Brassicales; Brassicaceae
Description: long non-coding RNA (CRUB_LNC000016)
Source: RNAcentral